This 429-nucleotide ribosomal RNA is filed under the name Bacteroidota bacterium. RNAcentral's name for it is "Bacteroidetes bacterium partial 16S ribosomal RNA". It matches the Rfam family "Bacterial small subunit ribosomal RNA", at positions 355 to 776 of the family's 1533-position model. The record is from RNAcentral. Lineage: Bacteria; Pseudomonadati; Bacteroidota.
UAGGGAAUCUUUCGCAAUGGACGCAAGUCUGACGGAGCAACGCCGCGUGAGUGAAGAAGGAUUUCGGUUCGUAAAACUCUGUUGUUAGAGAAGAACAGCGCAUAGAGUAACUGUUAUGCGUGUGACGGUAUCUAACCAGAAAGCCACGGCUAACUACGUGCCAGCAGCCGCGGUAAUACGUAGGUGGCAAGCGUUGUCCGGAUUUAUUGGGCGUAAAGCGAGCGCAGGCGGUCAAUUAAGUCUGAUGUGAAAGCCCCCGGCUCAACCGGGGAGGGUCAUUGGAAACUGGUUGACUUGAGUGCAGAAGAGGAGAGUGAAAUUCCAUGUGUAACGGUGAAAUGCGUAGAUAUAUGGAGGAACACCAGUGGCGAGGGCGACUCUCUGGUCUGUAACUGACGCUGAGGAUCGAAAGCGUGGGUAGCAAAAAGG